GACGAACGCUGGCGGCGUGCUUAACACAUGCAAGUCGAACGGAAAGGCCCUGCUUUUGUGGGGUUCUCGAGUGGCGAACGUGUGAGUAACACGUGAGUAACCUUCCCUUUACUUUGGGAUAACUUCAGGCAACUGGUGCUAAUACCUGCUAGGAGCUCCUGCUGCAUGGUGGGGUUUGGAAAUUUUCGGCGGUUGGGGAUGGACUCGCGGCUUAUUAGCUUGUUGGUGGGGUAGUGGCUUACCAAGGCUUUGACGGGUAGCCGGCCUGAGAGGGUGACCGGCCACAUUGGGACUGAGAGACGGCGCAGACUCCUACGGGAGGCAGCAGGGGGGAAUAUUGCACAAUGGGCGGAAGCCUGAUGCAGAAACGCCGCGAGCGGGAUGAAGGCCUUCGGGGUGUAAACCGCUGUAGGCUGUGACGAAGCGGGAGUGACGGUAAUGGGUAAAGAAGCACCGGCUAACUACGUG
This 468-nucleotide ribosomal RNA is filed under the name uncultured bacterium. Its description in RNAcentral is "partial 16S ribosomal RNA". It matches the Rfam family "Bacterial small subunit ribosomal RNA", at positions 28 to 507 of the family's 1533-position model. The record is from RNAcentral.